CCGAUUUUAGUUUUUAGAAUAUCUCUUUGUUAAUGAGAAGGGUUUUAUUGGU
Molecule: transfer RNA, 52 nt
Filed under: Chortoglyphus arcuatus
Lineage: Eukaryota; Metazoa; Arthropoda; Arachnida; Sarcoptiformes; Chortoglyphidae
Description: tRNA-Asn
Source: RNAcentral